UCCAGGGUAGCCGAGUGGACAAGGAACCUGCCCGGUAAGCAGAAGGGUGUGGGUUCGAUUCCCGCCCCUGGAC
This 73-nucleotide transfer RNA is filed under the name Cordylochernes scorpioides. Its description in RNAcentral is "tRNA-Thr". It matches the Rfam family "tRNA". Rfam says of the family: Transfer RNA (tRNA) molecules are approximately 80 nucleotides in length. Lineage: Eukaryota; Metazoa; Arthropoda; Arachnida; Pseudoscorpiones; Chernetidae. The record is from RNAcentral.